RNAcentral lists this ribosomal RNA (840 nucleotides) under uncultured eukaryote. RNAcentral's name for it is "SSU rRNA". It matches the Rfam family "Eukaryotic small subunit ribosomal RNA", at positions 635 to 1426 of the family's 1831-position model. The record is from RNAcentral.
CGGUGUUCAACUGGCGUGCCCGCGGGACGUCCUGCCGGUGAGCUCAGCCCGCGAGGGCGGCUCAACUUGAAAUCCCAUCGCGGUGCUCUUCAUUGAGUGUCGAGGUGGGCCGGCACGAUUACUUUUGAACAAAUUAGAGUGCUUAAAGCAGGCUAAAAUUUUGCCUGAAUACUGUGUAUAUGGAAUAAUGGAAUAGGACCUCGGUUCUAUUUUGUUGGGUUUUCGGAACCCCGAGGUAAUGAUUAAUAGGAACGGAUGGGGGCAUUCGUAUUGCGACGUUAGAGGUGAAAUUCUUGGAUCGUCGCAAGACGGACUAAAGCGAAAGCAUUUGCCAAAAACGCUUUCAUUGAUCAAGAACGAAAGUUAGAGGUUCGAAGGCGAUCAGAUACCGCCCUAGUUCUAACCAUAAACUAUGCCAGCUAGCGAUCCGCCGACGUCCCUCUGAUGACUCGGCGGGCAGCUUCCGGGAAACCAAAGCUUUUGGGUUCCGGGGGAAGUAUGGUUGCAAAGCUGAAACUUAAAGGAAUUGACGGAAGGGCACCACCAGGAGUGGAGCCUGCGGCUUAAUUUGACUCAACACGGGAAACCUCACCAGGCCCAGACACUGGAAGGAUUGACAGAUUGAGAGCUCUUUCUUGAUUCAGUGGGUGGUGGUGCAUGGCCGUUCUUAGUCGGUGGAGCGAUUUGUCAGGUUAAUUCCGAUAACGGACGAGACUCUGACCUGAUAACUAGACGCACUUGCGGCAUCUCAAAGGUCCGCCGGCGGCUGGCUUUGCGCCCGUCGUCGCGCGCGAUUUUUACUGCCGGCGUACAAUAAAUUCUUCUUAGAGGGACAAGUGG